RNAcentral lists this long non-coding RNA (733 nucleotides) under Coturnix japonica (Japanese quail). Its description in RNAcentral is "lncRNA (ENSCJPG00005001557.1)". The record is from RNAcentral. Lineage: Eukaryota; Metazoa; Chordata; Aves; Galliformes; Phasianidae.
GAAAUUGUACCAAUUGCAAAAGUGUCAUCAUUUUCUUGAGGAACAAAAACAAUUUAAGCAUGUUACCCACAGGAGAGAACUUGCAACGGAGAGAUGCCAUAUAAAAAAUGUCAACCUUCUUAAAGAGCAAAAAACUAUUUAAGUGAUAAUUUGUUCUUAAAAACCACCUUAGUUUUUUAAAUGAAUGUGUAUGGGUUUUUGGUGUUUUCAUAAAUUAUCUUAGUUUCCAUCGUCUCAAUCUGUUUAGAGUCUGUUACUGGAAUGUAAAGAGAAAACUAGUAAUUCUUUCAUUUGUCCCACCCUGUAAAAGUCAAACCAUUGUUCAUUUAAUGCCUGUUGCCAAAGGACUUAUCAUGCAAAUGGAUGUGAAAUGGGGUUAAAUGUUUAGCACUAGAUUUGGACAAUAGACUCCCUUCCUUCUAAAGCUUUAGGUUUAAUGAAGGUCUUGAUUACACAGGUGCCCUGAAGAAUAAUUUCUCCCGCUCAACAGGUGCUUCAAAGCAAAGGUCAAUUUUCAUUGUACGUGACAAUAAAACAAAACUGGUCAUUACUCUGUGUCUCAAAUGGCAUGAACAAAUUUCAUUUCCAACAGUGAGAAAAAAACCUUUCAGUCAUACAAUGCAACAAGAGGUUUUUCCAUUAUUACAGUACAUUAGAAGGAGCUUGAGGCUACCUGCCUCUGCAGUGAGAUGGAAAAGAAGACUGACCAGGGCAAGGAACAUUUCCAGUUCUG